This 492-nucleotide ribosomal RNA is filed under the name uncultured bacterium. RNAcentral describes it as "partial 16S ribosomal RNA". It matches the Rfam family "Bacterial small subunit ribosomal RNA", at positions 29 to 507 of the family's 1533-position model. The record is from RNAcentral.
AGUGAACGCUGGCGGUAGGCCUAACACAUGCAAGUCGAACGGCAGCACAGUAAGAGCUUGCGCUUACGGGUGGCGAGUGGCGGACGGGUGAGGAAUACAUCGGAAUCUACUUUUUCGUGGGGGAUAACGUGGGGAAACAUACGCUAAUACCGCAUACGACCUACGGGUGAAAGCAUGGGAUCUUCGGACCUUGCGCGAUUGAAUGAGCCGAUGUCGGAUUAGCUAGUUGGCGGGGUAAAGGCCCACCAAGGCGACGAUCCGUAGCUGGUCUGAGAGGAUGAUCCGGCCCACUGGAACUGAGACACGGUCCAGACUCCUACGGGAGGCAGCAGUGGGGAAUAUUGGACAAUGGGCGGAAGCCUGAUCCAGCCAUACCGCGUGGGUGAAGAAGGCCUUCGGGUUGUAAAGCCCUUUUGUUGGGAAAGAAAAGCAGCAGGUUAAUACCCCGCUGUUCUGACGGUACCCAAAGAAUAAGCACCGGCUAACUUCGUG